Molecule: ribosomal RNA, 282 nt
Filed under: uncultured bacterium
Lineage: Bacteria
Description: partial 16S ribosomal RNA
Rfam family: Bacterial small subunit ribosomal RNA
Source: RNAcentral
ACGGAAGGCAGAGUGGGGAAUAUUGGGGCAAUGGGCGCAAGGCCCUGACCAGCAUGCCGCGUGAGCUGAUGAAGGCCUUCGGGUCGUAAAGCUCUGUGGGGAGGGAACGAAAAAGCUUGUGGCUAAUAUCCAUGAGCCCUGACGGUACCUCCUUAGCAAGCACCGGCUAACUCCGUGCCAGCAGCCGCGGUAAUACGGAGGGUGCAAACUGUUGCUCGGAAUUAUUGGGCGUCAAAUGGCGCACGUAGGCGGCGAUAUAAGUCGGGUGUGAAAUGCCCUGGG